UUAACUAUUAUAUAGUACUCGGACGACACUGUAAGACAGGGUUUGGGGUUCUCUGGCGGGCGCGCACCAGCCGGAGCCGGUGGCCUUGCGGCGGCCCGCCAAAGCAACAAAGGCAAUGUAUACAAAGGGUGGGAGGUCUGCCCCGGAGGGCAUGAACUCUGUAAUGAUCCUUCCGCAGGUUCACCUACGGAAA
RNAcentral lists this unclassified non-coding RNA (193 nucleotides) under uncultured fungus. RNAcentral describes it as "sequence contains ITS1". Lineage: Eukaryota; Fungi. The record is from RNAcentral.